RNAcentral lists this long non-coding RNA (413 nucleotides) under Triticum aestivum (bread wheat). Its description in RNAcentral is "long non-coding RNA (TAES_LNC002606)". The record is from RNAcentral. Lineage: Eukaryota; Viridiplantae; Streptophyta; Magnoliopsida; Poales; Poaceae.
CGACUUAGGUGGAAGUGAAGGCUGUACCCAGGUGUGGCGCUGAAAAGAUUGCAUGUCUAGUGAAGACCAGAGGACUGUCGCUGGAAGUUCUGCUGGAACUGAGAAUGAAGGUAGCAAGUUCGUGGAGAAUGCUGGGUCUGUUGUUGCCUGGCCUGGAAUACUCUGCUCGGCUUAUCCCCAGAUCCUGCUCCUGUUUCUCCUAGGUGACACCCACGCACUCCCAAUUUUGCUUCGGUUAUACUCGCCCAACUAAUUAAAAUUGAUACUACAAGUAUUAACCAUGGUUCACUGCUUGUUUGAUGUUGAAAACAAUGGUUGCAUUGGCAAUUCAUUUCCAGCGUGCCUUCAUAAGCCUCCUGUGCAGCACUCAGUUCGAAGAGCUCUCCGUGCAGGUCUCCAGGAUCUCUUCCUGA